AAUGAUAUGCCUGAUUAAAGGAUUAUUUUGAUAGAAUAAAUUAUGUAUGCUUAUAUACUUUCAUUA
Molecule: transfer RNA, 66 nt
Filed under: Pheidole fervens
Lineage: Eukaryota; Metazoa; Arthropoda; Insecta; Hymenoptera; Formicidae
Description: tRNA-Ile
Source: RNAcentral